GACGAACGCUGGCGGCGUGCCUAAUACAUGCAUGUUGAGCGCUGAAGGUUGGUACUUGUACCAACUGGAUGAGCAGCGAACGGGUGAGUAACGCGUGGGGAAUCUGCCUUUGAGCGGGGGACAACAUUUGGAAACGAAUGCUAAUACCGCAUAAAAACUUUAAACACAAGUUUUAAGUUUGAAAGAUGCAAUUGCAUCACUCAAAGAUGAUCCCGCGUUGUAUUAGCUAGUUGGUGAGGUAAAGGCUCACCAAGGCGAUGAUACAUAGCCGACCUGAGAGGGUGAUCGGCCACAUUGGGACUGAGACACGGCCCAAACUCCUACGGGAGGCAGCAGUAGGGAAUCUUCGGCAAUGGACGAAAGUCUGACCGAGCAACGCCGCGUGAGUGAAGAAGGUUUUCGGAUCGUAAAACUCUGUUGGUAGAGAAGAACGUUGGUGAGAGUGGAAAGCUCAUCAAGUGACGGUAACUACCCAGAAAGGGACGGCUAACUACGUG
Molecule: ribosomal RNA, 497 nt
Filed under: uncultured bacterium
Lineage: Bacteria
Description: partial 16S ribosomal RNA
Rfam family: Bacterial small subunit ribosomal RNA
Source: RNAcentral